AAAUAAUCAGCGAAUCAAGGUGCCAACAUGUUGGCUUAAAAGGGAAUCCGGUGCAAAUCCGGAACUGUCCCCGCAACUGUAAGUGUGACGAACUGGGAAUACCACUGUACGAGAGAAAUGUAUGGGAAGGACUCAGCGCAGAAUGAUCACAAGUCAGGAGACCUGCCUUAGAUUUGCAGAAGUU
This 184-nucleotide non-coding RNA is filed under the name Metabacillus indicus. The record is from RNAcentral. Lineage: Bacteria; Bacillati; Bacillota; Bacilli; Caryophanales; Bacillaceae.